Molecule: ribosomal RNA, 318 nt
Filed under: uncultured Streptococcus sp.
Lineage: Bacteria; Bacillati; Bacillota; Bacilli; Lactobacillales; Streptococcaceae
Description: bacterial SSU rRNA
Rfam family: Bacterial small subunit ribosomal RNA
Source: RNAcentral
CGUGUCGUGAGAUGGUUGGUUAAGUCCCGCAACGAGCGCAACCCCUAUUGUUAGUUGCCAUCAUUCAGUUGGGCACUCUAGCGAGACUGCCGGUAAUAACCGGAGGAAGUGGGGAUGACGUCAAAUCAUCAUGCCCCUUAUGACCUGGGCUACACACGUGCUACAAUGGUUGGUACAACGAGUUGCGAGUCGGUGACGGCGAGCUAAUCUCUUAAAGCCAAUCUCAGUUCGGAUUGUAGGCUGCAACUCGCCUACAUGAAGUCGGAAUCGCUAGUAAUCGCGGAUCAGCACGCCGCGGUGAAUACGUUCCCGGGCCUU